AUGAUGUGAAUUAUUGAAGAGAUCACUUGAGUGGAAAUUCAGGCGUUUUACUGAAAUUGAACCAUCUUACUCACAUGCACACUUUCAUGCAUGCCUUCGUAUAUAUCAAUUGGAGAGUUCUGCACGCAGUAAGGUAUAGUAGCUGGCUGUUACAUAUAAGUUCUGCAUCAGCAAGAAGAACAAAACAUGGGGGGCAUUCAUUACUACAAAUGGUUCACAAGUAUGUUUCCUCUUAACCUUGAAUUUAUACUUCAACUAGGGGAUAUCUUUCAAUAUUGGGCACCGCUAUUUGUCCCAACUAAUAAGCAUUAUGUUUUUGUGGGAUUGAAUAAGUUUUCUUUUAUGAUUGGAAUGGCUAAGCUGUGAUGGAGAAGGAACAACAAAAUGGAUCACCAUGUAAAUAAGAUGCUUAUUCUGGAGACCUACAAUUAACCACUUUUAAAUAUGAGCAGAUUGAAGAAAAAACACUAGAAGUUUAUUGAUUGUAUAUGUACUUUCCACGUCAUGAAUAUUUUUAUUUCUGUUCCCAUUUAAUGCAUGUUUUAUUUUGAGUUUUCCUUACCGUUUCAUUGCAAUAGUCCAUGCUAUGAAUAUAACAUUCACUAGCAUAGCAUAAUUAAAAAAUAAUUAAAGGAUGUAGCAACAUAUUGGAGUAUGAGUAUUUUAAAAGAAAAAAGUCCAAUCUUGCCUAUCUUCAGAGGAAAAGGAAAAUAUUGGACCCAUUUUAUAUAAGAGAUCAAGCUCUCCCUAUCGAUAAAGAAAAAAAUUCUUAUUUUUCUGCCGAACAAAUGAUAACAUCACUUAAGGUCUAUCCAUUGGCUAGAUUGUGAACCACCAUGUACUCAUGUAGUACCUCUUCACCCGACACUCUGCCAGGGAGUUGCGAGUGUAUUUGCUCCGUGCCUCCAUGGACCUAUUCUAAACACAAGAGUGAAAAAUAUAUCGAUGUGAGAAGCAAGGUGAGCACCGUGAUGAUAGUUUUCUGUUUGACCCGAAAAAAAAACCCCAUCUGCACAACCAUGCAUAAGUGACAAGGCGGAUCAGUGAUGCAGCUGAGGCCCUAAAAAUCUGAAAAAUAAAAAAAGCACAAAAUAAUAGAUCAUAAAAAAAAUAUCUUUCAUUUAUACACAUUAUAACUGCCCAUUGACCAUAUCCCUAUGUUGUGCUUACUAUCUCAACACGGAUAGCACAUAGCAGAUUUAGUAUCCCCUAGUGGCCACGCCAACUGGUUCAUGUGGACUGCCUUAAAAACUAGAAGGAAAUGGUGCAUGUGCAUUCAGGUGAGCAUUACUACAGUUUUUGGAAGGUAACUAGUGCAUGUGCUUGAGAGUGGGUCGUUGAAACUUCCUGGGUGCACUUUUUUAGAAGAUAACUUCUGUGUGAGCAAAAUGUCUUCCUGGACCUUCAACAUUUUCUCGUCCACCAUUCCACCUUGAUCCUUUUAGCUGGAAAUGAACCACUAGUCACAUGCAUGCUCUCCAUUCUUCAACACUUUUCUUUCAUACCAAAUGGUGGAGUGUAUCUGCACGGAGCAGUUCAUAUAGCUGGCGCGAAGCAUAUUUUCGCGUCAUAUAUAGCUAAUUGGAACAAACGGAAUUAAAGGGGACAUUUACUUAUUAAAGAUGGCUGAAUUGGCAUGACUUACAAGUAUGCUUUCUAAUGUGUAGUAAUAUACUAGAAAUGUAUCUUCGUAGCCUUAUCCUCUGCAGAGUGGAUACUUUGCACAGGGAUGUGAAAUACUGUGUAUAGAAAUAUUUCCUCCAGAUGAAUGCCAUUCUCAUGGGACUGACUAAGUUACGAUUUAUGCCAACUAUAACUUCCAAAAAAAUAAUUGUUGAGUUAAACUUUAUUCUAGAUUGUAUAUAUAUUUUCCAUUUAACGGAUAUUUUUGUCUACGCACAUGUUCAUGAAUUAUUGGUUAGAGUUUAUAUCUUGUCAUUGUACAAAUAUUUGUGUAACUGAAUUAGUCCACGCUGUGUAUAUAAUAUUCACUAGUAUAUCAAAUCAGCAAAAAAAUAUGGGCAACAUAUACGGAUUGAAAUCAUCUUUUUUAGUUGAAGAAAUGGAUCUAUUAUAUGGAAUACGAGAGCCAACCUCUGCUUAUUGACAGAGACAAAAUUCCAAUCUUUAUUUUCCCGGUUUUUCCCGAGGAAAAACGGUCAAAUAAAGUCGUUUAAGAUUAAACAUUUAAUAGGAUGCGGGCCAUCAGGUAGUAUGUUUUCAUCAGGUAGGGAUUGUGAGUUUGUUUGCUUUACCCCUUCUAAACAUAGGGGAAAAUAGUCCAAUGCCAGAUGAGCCCCGUGAUUCGUUUUUUACAUGCAGCGAAGAGGUCCUUCAGAAUGUGAUAUAAUGUGGUCACUUUUCUACUGCAUAAGAAAAUAUUUGUGAUUUAUACACCUUAUCACGGUCCAUUUACAAAUAUCAUAUUUAUACUGUGCUUAUUAUCUCAACAAAGAUAGCACAUGGACAGGUACGGCCGGUGCUCAAGUCAAUCAUAGCAUUCAGUUGAGCAAACCUACAGUUUUAGAAGGUUAUGUAGUGCAUGUAUGCAUGUGCAUGUGCUUCUGAGUUGGUUGCUGUCAAACUUCCUAUGUUUACAUAUUUUUAAGGCAACUUAUUUUGUGCGAUAAAAAAUUCAAAGUAUAUUACAGGAGCUAUCAUAUUUUCAUAUCCAACUUGAUCCCUUUAAAUGUAUAUGAAUGCUCCAAUUUCUGUAUAAGAAAAUAAUGCUUCUCUACAUAUGCGUCUCAAAAAAAACAUUAGUAUCCAAAAAAAGAGAGAGAGGUUUUGAAAUCCAAUACACCGAUAUUUAGGCAAGCAAAACCAGUAACUCAGAAACAAAAAGCACAUAAUUAAUAAUUUAACUUGGAACAAUCCAAAUGCAAAAUCACAUAAGAAAACAAAACUAGGCAGAUCGACUGGAGGAGGCUCCUAUAAAUACCUCACGUCUCCUCUGUCUCUCGCCAUCCCACGAAACAGAGCACCGAGUUCCAGCAAGAGGGAAGUGCACUGCAGCAUCACCGCCUAGCAUUACUGCUCAAGAUCCAUCUUCUUCGACCAUCAUGGCUGGCCGCUGGGCGCCGGUCGUCGGCGUUCUUCUCCUGCUUCCGCUCCUGCCGUUGGCCUCCUCUUCCAUGGUGUUCAAGCGAGACGGCAACGUCUACCCUAGUGGUUAUGCACACGACCUCCUCUCGACUAGCAGCAUCUCUCUUUGUUGU
This 3218-nucleotide long non-coding RNA is filed under the name Panicum hallii. Its description in RNAcentral is "long non-coding RNA (PHAL_LNC000769)". Lineage: Eukaryota; Viridiplantae; Streptophyta; Magnoliopsida; Poales; Poaceae. The record is from RNAcentral.